This 140-nucleotide ribosomal RNA is filed under the name uncultured eukaryote. RNAcentral's name for it is "partial 18S ribosomal RNA". It matches the Rfam family "Eukaryotic small subunit ribosomal RNA", at positions 1299 to 1458 of the family's 1831-position model. The record is from RNAcentral.
UGGUGGAGUGAUUUGUCUGGUUAAUUCCUUUAACAAACGAGACCUCAACUUGCUAACUAGUUACACAAAGGAUCCUCUUUGUGGCCAACUUCUUAGAGGGACUAUGGCCGUCUAGGCCAUGGAAGUUUGAGGCAAUAAUA